GUGGGGUGGCAAGCGUUGUCCGGAAUUAUUGGGCGUAAAGCGCGCGCAGGGCGGUCCUUUAAGUCUGAUGUGAAAGCCCACGGCUCAACCGUGGAGGGUCAUUGGAAACUGGGGGACUUGAGUACAGAAGAGGAAAGCGGAAUUCCAAGUGUAGCGGUGAAAUGCGUAGAGAUUUGGAGGAACACCAGUGGCGAAGGCGGCUUUCUGGUCUGUAACUGACGCUGAGGCGCGAAAGCGUGGGGAGCAAACAGGAUUAGAUACCCUGGUAGUCCACGCCGUAAACGAUGAGUGCUAAGUGUUAGGGGGUUUCCGCCCCUUAGUGCUGCAGCUAACGCAUUAAGCACUCCGCCUGGGGAGUACGGCCGCAAGGCUG
Molecule: ribosomal RNA, 373 nt
Filed under: uncultured organism
Description: partial 16S ribosomal RNA
Rfam family: Bacterial small subunit ribosomal RNA
Source: RNAcentral